This is a transfer RNA of Wallemia sebi, 73 nucleotides long. It matches the Rfam family "tRNA". Rfam says of the family: Transfer RNA (tRNA) molecules are approximately 80 nucleotides in length. The record is from Rfam. NCBI's taxonomy places the organism in Eukaryota, Fungi, Basidiomycota, Wallemiomycetes, Wallemiales, Wallemiaceae.
GCCUCGCUAGCUCAAUCGGUAGAGCGUGAGACUCUUAAUCUCAAGGCUGCGGGUUCGAGCCCCGCGUGGGGCU